RNAcentral lists this ribosomal RNA (209 nucleotides) under uncultured bacterium. RNAcentral describes it as "partial 16S ribosomal RNA". It matches the Rfam family "Bacterial small subunit ribosomal RNA", at positions 29 to 263 of the family's 1533-position model. The record is from RNAcentral.
AACGAACGCUGGCGGCAGGCUUAACACAUGCAAGUCGAACGGGCGUAGCAAUACGUCAGUGGCGGACGGGUGAGUAACACGUGGGAAUAUGCCUUUCGGUUCGGAACAACUCGGGGAAACCCGUGCUAAUUCCGGAUACGCCCUUACGGGGAAAGGAUUAUCGCCGAAAGAUUAGCCCGCGUUGGAUUAGCUAGUUGGUGAGGUAAAGG